Molecule: long non-coding RNA, 1214 nt
Filed under: Aquilegia coerulea
Lineage: Eukaryota; Viridiplantae; Streptophyta; Magnoliopsida; Ranunculales; Ranunculaceae
Description: long non-coding RNA (ACOE_LNC002038)
Source: RNAcentral
UCAGAGGCUUCAGACAUUCACGAAGGACAUGAUUAAUUAUAAAAUGAUGAUAUAUCUGAUUCUGAGGACACUGAUUUUUGUUGCUCAACAAUUGUCAUUCAGAUUCUUUUGCUUCAGCAAAUAUGGAUGACGUUGAAUUGACAGAUCCCGAGUCUUGAACAAUAAAAUGUGUUCAGGUUGCAUGUUGAUCGAGUGAUCCUGUGUCAUCGUCCGGCUUGGUUACAGCAUCACACAGUUGUACAUUAAAAGGUUGCAUUUUCCAUUCUGUUAUACAUUAAAAAGAUGAUCUUCAGUUAUACAAAGUUGGUGCAUCUAUCAUGUUUAUCAUCUUUUAAGAGUGAACAACUGAACACACUCCAAAAUGAAUCAACUUUUUUUUAGAAUGACUGUAAUGUGCAACAAACUCUUUGUUAAAGACCAGUUUGAUUACGGAGGUAGCCUGAUACUGUACACCAUUUUCCCAACUAGUGCUUUCUUGCCUGCUAUUAUAUUUCUCUUUUGUAUUACAAUCCAAUAAACAAAUUUUAAUGUUUCUAAUAAUUUGUUCUUUCCUGUCUAUCUCAGUUUCAUUCUUUUCUAUUUUAAGUAGAAUAGAUAAGAAUAACUAUAAACUUUCAAUUUUGAAAUAUAUUAAUCUAGCUUGAAGAACAAUGCAUUUUUUUUUUGUUGUUUACUCUAUUGUUUGAAAUAUUUACUCUAUUGUUUUCCAUUCUUUUUAUUCAUAACAAUGCAUUAUGUUACUGGCAUGGCAUUUGAGAAAAGAAAUAGCAUUCUCCAUCUUCGGCAUUUGACAAGGAUAAUUUCUUUUCUAUAUGUUUUUCCCUAUUUGUUUCAAUUUUGUUGACCUAACUAUGUUUGUUAUUUUUUAAUAAAACACUAUCUCUUCGUUGCAACUUCUUGCCUAAUUUUCUAAUUAAUUUGUAUCUAAUCUUUUAUGCUACUUUAUCUUUUUCAUUUUUUACAGAUAUUCUCUGCGAGGUCGUCUUCUAUAUUUUGAAUAUGAAAACUUGGGGAGUAGUCGAUUCAGUCCCAGUUUUAGGUAAUUUUUCUUCAUUGGUUUAUGUGUAGAUUACUCUCUAUGUAAUUAUUUUUUGGCUGGAAAUGGAAACUAAAUUUAGAUCCUAUUAUUUUAAUUAUGUUGAAGUAGGUUCGAGGAACCUUGGUCCUAAACAGAUUAAUAGAAAUGAUUGCUUGAGACAAACUUCUUGGAACCU